Molecule: ribosomal RNA, 1452 nt
Filed under: Salmonella enterica subsp. enterica serovar Berta
Lineage: Bacteria; Pseudomonadati; Pseudomonadota; Gammaproteobacteria; Enterobacterales; Enterobacteriaceae
Description: partial 23S ribosomal RNA
Rfam family: Bacterial large subunit ribosomal RNA
Source: RNAcentral
GGUUUAAGCGUGUAGGUGUGUGUUCCAGGUAAAUCCGGUUCACUUUAACACUGAGGCGUGAUGACGAGGCACUACGGUGCUGAAGUAACAAAUGCCCUGCUUCCAGGAAAAGCCUCUAAGCAUCAGGUAACAUCAAAUCGUACCCCAAACCGACACAGGUGGUCAGGUAGAGAAUACCAAGGCGCUUGAGAGAACUCGGGUGAAGGAACUAGGCAAAAUGGUGCCGUAACUUCGGGAGAAGGCACGCUGACACGUAGGUGAAGUGAUUUACUCACGGAGCUGAAGUCAGUCGAAGAUACCAGCUGGCUGCAACUGUUUAUUAAAAACACAGCACUGUGCAAACACGAAAGUGGACGUAUACGGUGUGACGCCUGCCCGGUGCCGGAAGGUUAAUUGAUGGGGUCAGCGCAAGCGAAGCUCCUGAUCGAAGCCCCGGUAAACGGCGGCCGUAACUAUAACGGUCCUAAGGUAGCGAAAUUCCUUGUCGGGUAAGUUCCGACCUGCACGAAUGGCGUAAUGAUGGCCAGGCUGUCUCCACCCGAGACUCAGUGAAAUUGAACUCGCUGUGAAGAUGCAGUGUACCCGCGGCAAGACGGAAAGACCCCGUGAACCUUUACUAUAGCUUGACACUGAACAUUGAGCCUUGAUGUGUAGGAUAGGUGGGAGGCUUUGAAGUGUGGACGCCAGUCUGCAUGGAGCCGACCUUGAAAUACCACCCUUUAAUGUUUGAUGUUCUAACGUGGACCCGUUACCCGGGUUGCGGACAGUGUCUGGUGGGUAGUUUGACUGGGGCGGUCUCCUCCUAAAGAGUAACGGAGGAGCACGAAGGUUGGCUAAUCCUGGUCGGACAUCAGGAGGUUAGUGCAAUGGCAUAAGCCAGCUUGACUGCGAGCGUGACGGCGCGAGCAGGUGCGAAAGCAGGUCAUAGUGAUCCGGUGGUUCUGAAUGGAAGGGCCAUCGCUCAACGGAUAAAAGGUACUCCGGGGAUAACAGGCUGAUACCGCCCAAGAGUUCAUAUCGACGGCGGUGUUUGGCACCUCGAUGUCGGCUCAUCACAUCCUGGGGCUGAAGUAGGUCCCAAGGGUAUGGCUGUUCGCCAUUUAAAGUGGUACGCGAGCUGGGUUUAGAACGUCGUGAGACAGUUCGGUCCCUAUCUGCCGUGGGCGCUGGAGAACUGAGGGGGGCUGCUCCUAGUACGAGAGGACCGGAGUGGACGCAUCACUGGUGUUCGGGUUGUCAUGCCAAUGGCACUGCCCGGUAGCUAAAUGCGGAAGAGAUAAGUGCUGAAAGCAUCUAAGCACGAAACUUGCCCCGAGAUGAGUUCUCCCUGAGACUUUAGGUCUCCUGAAGGAACGUUGAAGACGACGACGUUGAUAGGCCGGGUGUGUAAGCGCAGCGAUGCGUUGAGCUAACCGGUACUAAUGAACCGUGAGGCUUAACCUUACAACGCCG